This is a long non-coding RNA of Suricata suricatta (meerkat), 921 nucleotides long. RefSeq lists it as uncharacterized. The transcript is spliced from 2 exons. The record is from RefSeq and is a predicted model, not a curated record. Lineage: Eukaryota; Metazoa; Chordata; Mammalia; Carnivora; Herpestidae.
AAUGAGUUCAGGGGGCGGAGGCUUCAGCGGCCCACCGGUACCUAAUCAGCCACAAGACCGGAAGCCCCACAAUCCGAGAGAGACGUGGGCUUCCCCCAUCCCAGACAAGUCAACACGGAAUCCCAAACUCUCCUUUCUGCCUCCAGGCCCCGUCUGACCCCAUUGGCAGCAGUUCCCGCCAAUCCGCGGGGUCACCGCCCCCCCAGCCCGCCUGCCCAGCCGUGAUUGGAUGGGACGGGAGCCGGGACCUCGUGUUACCAAUCUGGGAGCCCCUUACUCAGCCACACGCUAAAGCCCAGGUCCUGGGACAGAAGCGUUACGGGCUAAGCAAGCUCUCGCCUCCAACACCGCCACCCGCCAGAAGCCGUCAGCCCCCCCUUCAAGCUCUGACGCCGCUCGUCGCCACCGUCGCCGGGACGUGAGCGCGCACGCUCCUCGCGCUUAGUUGUUUCCCGCGGGGGCUCCACCAACUGGCGUCCAACUGCAUUUGCUCCACCCGCUCCGCCCGGGAGAGGUUCCACCCUAACGGCUCUCGGGCGCGUGCACGCGAGCUUCUCCCGCCCCUUUCCCCCAGAUCUCGCGAGACUGGUUAUCAAACGACCCUCGAGCUAGAUCCGCCCGCGGCGCCAAACUGCACGCACCGGUCUGCGAGUGGGCUAGGCCCGCGCCGCACGCUGUGCUGGCGAACCGAACUCAAAUUAGCAAAUGUGCCUGAAGGUUAGCCCGAGUCAAAAGUAAGUGGAGACCUCGCGGAUCAGUUCUACUGAGGUUAGCAGUCUUAGUAGUUAAUACGGGCGUAUUUCUAACGCAUAUUCACUGACCGAUUAACUCGCUUUUAGGGGCCCACCCAGUGUAUACAUUCACUCAACCUUUUCCCCACUGCUGCCUUGACCUUCUAUAAAAGGAACCCUGGAGAACUGA